Long non-coding RNA from Apodemus sylvaticus (European woodmouse), 355 nucleotides. RefSeq lists it as uncharacterized. NCBI's taxonomy places the organism in Eukaryota, Metazoa, Chordata, Mammalia, Rodentia, Muridae. The transcript has 3 exons. The record is from RefSeq and is a predicted model, not a curated record.
UUGUGAUUUCCCCCCUGCACCGUUGGCUCGAGGUGUUGGUUUUUGGGGUUUUUUUUGUUUUUUGGUUUUUUUUAUUUUCUUAACGUGGAGAUUCCUCAGUGGCCACCCCAUCAUGAGACUUGAGAAAAGAAGUAGGCAGAUCAGAGAACCAAAUUUAAAGUCUCAUCAUCACACUCGGUUUCCCUGGACCCACUUCCGGAACCAAUGAUGGUAUCCACCGAGGAUUUGGUCCAAUCGGGGACAAGCAUACGUGCUGACGUAUUUCCUGCCCACAUGUGAUCGAACGCAUCCAGUGCAGAUGGGGUCAGCGAACAUAGGACAACAGGAACUUACUCUUAACUGCACUCAAACUCUU